AUGGAGUCCUCCGUGCUGGCCCUGGUGUGUUCGUGGAGCCACUGUACCAUGGCCAAGUCCCGCGGCCGUCGCCCCUGCAUCGCGCCAAGUCCCUGCGUCGUGCCCCUGUUGUUGUUGACGCUAAGUCCAACGGUUACCGAACAGGGAAUAUGCCGAGUACCGGGUCAACGAAAUCGCCAAGUUCGUCUUUUGAUGUCUCCGAAAUCGCCAAGUACCACGAUGUCAAGUACCUCUACGCACGGAUAA
This 246-nucleotide ribosomal RNA is filed under the name Triticum aestivum (bread wheat). RNAcentral describes it as "partial small subunit ribosomal RNA". The record is from RNAcentral. Lineage: Eukaryota; Viridiplantae; Streptophyta; Magnoliopsida; Poales; Poaceae.